UUAUAGGUGGAUUUCAUGUAUCUUAGAAAAUGUUAAUUACAAUAAAUUAAAUGAAAAGGACCACUAUAAUUUGGACAUAAUCAGUAAGAAAUAAGAAUAUGGGAUGCAAUUAAGGUCUGUUGCUAGUAGAUAAUUUGCAAGCCAAACUUGAUUAGUCAUAAAAAUGUGUAUGCCUACGACCAGCCCAAACUUGAUGUUACUUCAUAAGGAUGCGGCA
RNAcentral lists this long non-coding RNA (217 nucleotides) under Elaeis guineensis (African oil palm). RNAcentral describes it as "long non-coding RNA (EGUI_LNC021448)". Lineage: Eukaryota; Viridiplantae; Streptophyta; Magnoliopsida; Arecales; Arecaceae. The record is from RNAcentral.